Molecule: ribosomal RNA, 1552 nt
Filed under: Cutibacterium sp.
Lineage: Bacteria; Bacillati; Actinomycetota; Actinomycetes; Propionibacteriales; Propionibacteriaceae
Description: bacterial SSU rRNA
Rfam family: Bacterial small subunit ribosomal RNA
Source: RNAcentral
CCUACCGUGACAGAACGACUUCCAUACUCGUGUGAAGAGUUUGAUCAUGGCUCAGGACGAACGCUGGCGGCGUGCUUAACACAUGCAAGUCGUACGGUAAGGCCCUUUCGGGGGUACACGAGUGGCGAACGGGUGAGUAACACGUGAGUAACCUGCCCACAACUUUGGGAUAACGCUAGGAAACUGGUGCUAAUACUGGAUAUGUGCUCCUGCUGCAUGGUGGGGGUUGGAAAGCUCCGGCGGUUGUGGAUGGACUCGCGGCCUAUCAGCUUGUUGGUGGGGUAGUGGCCUACCAAGGCGGCGACGGGUAGCCGGCCUGAGAGGGUGACCGGCCACAUUGGGACUGAGAUACGGCCCAGACUCCUACGGGAGGCAGCAGUGGGGAAUAUUGCACAAUGGGCGCAAGCCUGAUGCAGCAACGCCGCGUGCGGGAUGACGGCCUUCGGGUUGUAAACCGCUUUCAGCAGGGACGAAGCUUUUUGUGACGGUACCUGCAGAAGAAGCACCGGCUAACUACGUGCCAGCAGCCGCGGUGAUACGUAGGGUGCGAGCGUUGUCCGGAUUUAUUGGGCGUAAAGGGCUCGUAGGCGGUUGAUCGCGUCGGAAGUGGAAACUUGAUGCUUAACGUUGAGCGUGCUUUCGAUACGGGUUGACUUGAGGAAGGUAGGGGAGAAUGGAAUUCCUGGUGGAGCGGUGGAAUGCGCAGAUAUCAGGAGGAACACCAGUGGCGAAGGCGGUUCUCUGGACCUUUCCUGACGCUGAGGAGCGAAAGCGUGGGGAGCGAACAGGCUUAGAUACCCUGGUAGUCCACGCUGUAAACGGUGGGUACUAGGUGUGGGGUCCAUUCCACGGAUUCUGUGCCGUAGCUAACGCAUUAAGUACCCCGCCUGGGGAGUACGGCCGCAAGGCUAAAACUCAAAGGAAUUGACGGGGCCCCGCACAAGCGGCGGAGCAUGCGGAUUAAUUCGAUGCAACGCGAAGAACCUUACCUGGGUUUGACAUGGAUCGGGAGCUUCCAGAGAUGGUUGUGCCUCUUUUGGGGUCGGUUCACAGGUGGUGCAUGGCUGUCGUCAGCUCGUGUCGUGAGAUGUUGGGUUAAGUCCCGCAACGAGCGCAACCCUCGUCCACUGUUGCCAGCAAUUCGGUUGGGGACUCAGUGGAGACCGCCGGGGUCAACUCGGAGGAAGGUGGGGAUGACGUCAAGUCAUCAUGCCCCUUAUGUCCAGGGCUUCACGCAUGCUACAAUGGCCGGUACAGUGAGUUGCGACAUCGUAAGGUGGAGCGAAUCUCAAAAAGCCGGUCUCAGUUCGGAUUGGGGUCUGCAACUCGACCUCAUGAAGUCGGAGUCGCUAGUAAUCGCAGAUCAGCAACGCUGCGGUGAAUACGUUCCCGGGGCUUGUACACACCGCCCGUCAAGUCAUGAAAGUCGGUAACACUCGAAGCCGGUGGCCUAACACUUUUUGUGGGGGAGCUGUCGAAGGUGGGACUGGUGAUUAGGACUAAGUCGUAACAAGGUAACCGUCACACGAGUAUGGAAGUCGUUCUGUCACGG